GAUGAACGCUGGCGGCGUGCCUAAUACAUGCAAGUCGAGCGAACAGACGAGGAGCUUGCUCCUCUGACGUUAGCGGCGGACGGGUGAGUAACACGUGGAUAACCUACCUAUAAGACUGGGAUAACUUCGGGAAACCGGAGCUAAUACCGGAUAAUAUAUUGAACCGCAUGGUUCAAUAGUGAAAGACGGUUUUGCUGUCACUUAUAGAUGGAUCCGCGCCGCAUUAGCUAGUUGGUAAGGUAACGGCUUACCAAGGCAACGAUGCGUAGCCGACCUGAGAGGGUGAUCGGCCACACUGGAACUGAGACACGGUCCAGACUCCUACGGGGGGCAGCAGUAGGGAAUCUUCCGCAAUGGGCGAAAGCUUGACGGAGCAACGCCGCGUGAGUGAUGAAGGUCUUCGGAUCGUAAAACUCUGUUAUUAGGGAAGAACAAAUGUGUAAGUAACUAUGCACGCCUUGACGGUACCUAAUCAGAAAGCCACGGCUAACUACGUG
This 497-nucleotide ribosomal RNA is filed under the name uncultured bacterium. RNAcentral's name for it is "partial 16S ribosomal RNA". It matches the Rfam family "Bacterial small subunit ribosomal RNA", at positions 28 to 507 of the family's 1533-position model. The record is from RNAcentral.